GCCUGUUCGAGCGUCAUUUCAACCCUCAAGCACUGCUUGGUAUUGGAUGCCACUGCGCAUGGUGCAUCUUAAAAGCAUUGGCGGCAGCAUUUAGCUCUAGCAUAGUAAAUUUCUUGCUCUGGAGCUUAGAUGUCUGCCUGCCAGAAACUCAUAUUUCAAAGGUUGACCUCGGAUCAGGUAGGGAUACCCGCUGAACUUAA
This 200-nucleotide unclassified non-coding RNA is filed under the name soil metagenome. RNAcentral's name for it is "partial contains internal transcribed spacer 2 and large subunit ribosomal RNA". The record is from RNAcentral.